CUGAUGGAGCACGCCGCGUGAGCGAAGAAGGUUUUCGGAUCGUAAAGCUCUGUUGCGAGGGAAGAACAAGUACGGGAGUAACUGCCCGUACCUUGACGGUACCUCGUCAGAAAGCCACGGCUAACUACGUGCCAGCAGCCGCGGUAAUACGUAGGUGGCAAGCGUUGUCCGGAAUUAUUGGGCGUAAAGCGCGCGCAGGCGGUCCUUUAAGUCUGAUGUGAAAGCCCACGGCUCAACCGUGGAGGGUCAUUGGAAACUGGAGGACUUGAGUACAAAAAAGGAAAGCGGAAUUCCACGUGUAGCGGUGAAAUGCGUAAAGAUGUGGAGGAACACCAGUGGCGAAGGCGGCUUUCUGGUCUGUAACUGACGCUGAGGCGCGAAAGCGUGGGGAGCAAACAGGAUUAAAUACCCUGGUAGUCCACGCCGUAAACAAUGAGUGCUAAGUGUUAGGGGGUUUCCGCCCCUUAGUGCUGCAGCUAACGCAUUAAGCACUCCGCCUGGGGAGUACGGCCGCAAGGCUGAAACU
This 526-nucleotide ribosomal RNA is filed under the name uncultured bacterium. Its description in RNAcentral is "bacterial SSU rRNA". It matches the Rfam family "Bacterial small subunit ribosomal RNA", at positions 383 to 901 of the family's 1533-position model. The record is from RNAcentral.